This 4159-nucleotide long non-coding RNA is filed under the name Homo sapiens (human). RNAcentral describes it as "non-protein coding PWRN1:28". The record is from RNAcentral. Lineage: Eukaryota; Metazoa; Chordata; Mammalia; Primates; Hominidae.
UUUUUAAGUUGUCUCUUGUAUCACUUUGAAAUACCUCCAUAAUUAAAGUUUGAUGUUGUGUGGUUGGUUGGUUUUGUUGUUGUUUGGCAUUUUCUUUUGUUCAGUCACUAUUAUAUGCUCCAGUCUAUGAAUUUAAUUGUGCUCCAGGGUAAUUUGGUAAUUUUAUAAUUUCUACGAAUGUUUCCAACACCAUAUGACCUAAUCCAGCACCAUAUAAAUGGAUCCACUCAUUCUCUCAUUUGUAUGUAAUCUAGCACUCCCUGCAAGCAAGUUGAUGUUGUUAAUUUAAUCAUGCUACCUGAACAAGGUAUAUUGCUAUGUAGAAAAAUACAAGUUGAAACAGUCAAAAUACUGUGUAAUUCCAUUCAUAUGACUCUGUAGAAAAGGAAAAAGUGUAGUGAUAGUAGAGUUCAGUGGUAACAAGGGGCUUGGGAGAGAUAUAGGUGACAUCAGUGAACUACCGAAGAUUUCUUUUGGGCAGUGAAAUUCCUCUUUGAUACUGUAACGGUGGAUACAUCAUAAUGUUUUCCAAAUCCUGAAGAACUUUGUAACACAAAGAGUGUAGCUAAUUUAUGCAAAUUAAAAACCUUAUUUAGGAGGUCACAAGUUUGCCUUUUCACAGUAUUUUACCUUUUCCAACUUAUAUUUUUUAGCAAUAUGCUUUUUAGAUUUUUGAAGUACACCUCAUGGUUUUUAGAUUUGCCUUCACCUAAUUGUUGUAGGACAGGUGAGUCACACAAUUGGGGCUUAUCCUGAGAGGGUUAUUAGCUUUGUCCAGGAAAGAAUUUAAGGGCAAGUGGGUGAUGUUAGACUGCAAUAUUUUAUUGAAUGGUACUGCUCCUAGCAGAGCAGGGCUAACUCUUAAGCAGUGUGUUCAGAGUUGGCAACAUAUAGGCCUCCUGGCAACUGUGUUUAUAUGCAAUCAAACCCACUUUUAAUUAUAUGCAAAUUGAGGGGCAGAUCAAUGCAAAUUGAGGCAGGAAAGGGGCAGUGACUUCUAGGUUGUCUCCAUGGAAAGGGGCAGUAACUUCUGAGCUGUAGCCAUGGAAUUUGUAAACAGUUAUGUGGUUGGUAGGAGUGUCAUAUGAGUGACAAAUGAAGACUGCCAGGGAUCACAUUUACCACAAUGUACACGCUUCUGUCAGUUUUUUCCCUUUAUCCUGUCUGGAGCAGAUCUUAUUUUGGUCAUCAAGGUUGUGAAACCAGAAAACAAGUCCUUCCAGUCUCCUACCUCAUAAUGACAAAAGACAUUGAGCAUAAUUUCAUGUGAUUUUGGAUAUGACUAUGGCUUUCUUUUGAGAGUUGGCUAUUUAAGAUUUUGCCAUUUUUGAUUGGGAUAUUUGCCUUUUUAAUUUUGAGUUGUAAGACAUUGUAUAUUCUGGAUAAUAGACCAUUAUCACCUAUAAAAUUUGCAAUUUUCACAUAUUUUCUGCCAUUCUUUGGGUGCCUCUUUAUAUUUGAUGGUGGACUUUAAAUUGCAAAAGAUUUUAAUUCUAAUGAAGUUUAAUAUUUCUAUAUUUUCUUCUUUCCUUUGUGCUUUUCAGUGUCAUAUCUUAAAACAUUGUUUAACCAGAGACCACAAAGAUGUAUUCCUGUGUUCCUUUUUAUGGGUUGGCCCUGUUUAGCUCUUAUAUUUAGAUGGAUUAUCAUUUUGAGUCAAUUAUGUUUCUGGUAUGAGGCAAGAGUCUAACUUGCAUGUGGAUAUCCACUUGACCCACAAACAUUUGACAAGAAAAUAUUGCUUCAUACCUAAUUUAUUUGGCCACAGUAUAAAAGCAUUUCACCAUAAAUGUAGGGAUUCAUUUUUCAGUAUUAUAUUCUCUACUCCAUUGAUCAAUACAUAUAUCCCUAUACUAGUACCACAAAUCUUGAUUACUAUUACUUUGUAGUAAGUUUUGCAAUCAAGAAGCAUAUGUCUACUAUGCAAACCCUUUUUGUCCUUCUCAAGAGUGUUUUGGCUGCUCAUGAUCUAUAUUAUAUAUAAUUUUAGGAUAAACUUCUGAAUUUAGGGGAAGGUAAUGCCACCUGGUGUUUUGAGAGAAGUUGCAUUAAUUCUAUAGAUCCAUUUGGAAAAUAUUGCCAACCUAACAAUAUGCAUUCUGUAGUUUUUAGUGUACAUAUCUUAUACUUAAUUUGAUAAGGUUAUUCCUAAGUAUUUUUGAUGUGAUCUUAAUUGGAACGAUUUUCUGAGUUUUGUUUUUAGAUUGUUAAUUGCUAGUAUAGAGAAAUUUAAAAUAUUUUAUAUAUUUUAUAUGCUGCAAACUUCUUUGAACUCAUCUUUAAAUUCUAAACAUAUUUGAUAGAGUCCUUUGGACUUUUUAUACAUGAGAUCAUGUCAUUUGCAAACAGUCGGAGUUUGACUUCCUUUCCAUACUAGAAACGUUAUAUUUAUUUUUCUAAAUGAAUUGCCCUGUCUACAUUCUCCAGUACAAUGUUGCGAACAAGUGUCAACAGUGGAAAUAUUUGACUUCUUUCUAAUAUCAGAGAAAUUAGUGAACCUUUCAGAUUACUUAUGAUGAUAUGUGAGCUUUUCAUAGAUGCCCUUUGAAAUGAAGAAAGUUCUCUUAUCUGCCUAAUUUGCUGCAUGUUUUUAUAAUACUGAAUCUGGGAAUUUUCAAGUGCUUGUUGCACACCUUCUGAGACGAUUGUGUAGUUUUUAUUCUUUAUUAAUAUAGUGUAUGACAUUAAUUGUAUCAUAUGUUGAACCAAAUUUGCAUUCCUGAGGUAAAUACCUUUUGCCAUAGUUUAUAAUACUUUCUACAUGUUGCUGAUUUCAUUUGAUAAUAUCUCGCUGCUGAUUUUUGUCUCUGUAUUUAUAAGGCAUAUUGGUCUUCAUUCUCCUUAUUUGAAAUGUCUUUGUGUAGUUGUUCAAUCAGGGUAAACUAAUUCAUAGUAUACAAUGGGAAGUGAUCUAUUUUCUACUUCUUUAUUAUUAUUGUAUUGUUUUGAAAUAUUUUUGAUAAAUUAGUAUUAAUUUUAAGUGAUUUUAAUAACACAUCAAUGAGUUCCUGAUGAGGGCAGGGAGGUGAAUCCUAAGAACAAUCAUGUGAGUUUGGAAGGAGACCCUUCCCCAGCUGAGCCUCAGCCUGAGCCAUCCCCUACAUCUAGACCGAAGACCCAGAGAAACCGUGAGUAGUAUGUGUGUGGUUCUGAGCCACUAAGGUAUGUAGUAAUUUGUUAUGCACCAAGUAGUAAGUAAUAUACCUGACAGUAAUUGUUAGGUGGUAUUCUGGAUUAGGUCCUGGAAUAGAUAAGUAUAUGAUUAUUAGAAAACCUGGUAAAAUAUGAAGGAAGUUUGUAGAUCAGUUAAUAGUCUUGAAAAACAGUUAAAUUCUUAGUUUUCAUGAAUAUGCUAUGGUUACAAUAUAUAUUAACAUUCUAGUUAUCUGAAUGGUAUAUGAAACUGUCUGUACUUACCUAUGUGCAUUUAUGUAAAUCUGCAGUUAUUUCAAAAUAAAUAUGUUUUUUAAUAUUAUUAUUAUUUUUUUAAGAAAAGUAAGCAAGUAAAGACAUCAGCAAAAAACUUUUGCCUCCAGAUACAAGUGGGCAUGUAGGGAGAGAAUAGUAAACUGGCUUUUCUUUUCUUUUCUAGGCAACAUUCGAAACCCAGGUGCCACUCCUUCAGGAAGGUACCAUCAAGCUCCAAGGACUCAUCCUCUUUCUCCUUCCCCACUACCUAGUCAUUAGAGCGUCAGCAUCCACUUCCUGAAAGGAAGAUGCCUGUUUUUCACAUAUCCCAGAAAGCCUCAUUUUAGGACAGCAUUUAGCAGAGUGUAUUCAGGAUCCCACUAACCUUUUCGGAAGACAUGACUUCCAGAUGAUAUAAGGCAAGAAUAAGAAAUUUCAGUGACAGGGAACAGAAAUCAUAUUUCUGCAUUCAGGAUCAUGUUUUCUUGGCUCCAUCAGGAACUGUGCAGGACUGUGCACUCUGUUGAUACUCACAUGGUGGAAUUAUAUUGCCCUUGGCCAACCCUAAAGCCAUCAAGAUAGCAGGUUUGGAAUAAUUCACUGUCGAAGUCUUCUUGAGCUGAGCAGUCAUGUGAGCUUGGAAGAUGAUCCCUCUCCAGCUGAUCCUUCAGCUCAGGCCAUCAUCUACAUCUGGAUUCCUGACCCGGAGAAACUAUGAGUAAUGUGUGCUGCUUUUGAGCCACUAAGCUAC